This 66-nucleotide transfer RNA is filed under the name Caridina pseudogracilirostris. Its description in RNAcentral is "tRNA-Asp". Lineage: Eukaryota; Metazoa; Arthropoda; Malacostraca; Decapoda; Atyidae. The record is from RNAcentral.
UAAAAAUUAGUUAAUUAAAUAACGUGGGCUUGUCAAGCCUAAGUAAUUGCCAAGCAAUAUUUUUAU